Mobula hypostoma (lesser devil ray) is the source of this 792-nucleotide long non-coding RNA. RefSeq lists it as uncharacterized. Lineage: Eukaryota; Metazoa; Chordata; Chondrichthyes; Myliobatiformes; Myliobatidae. The record is from RefSeq and is a predicted model, not a curated record. The transcript has 3 exons.
CCAUGUUUCUGAGACCCUCUCCAGCAUCUGCACUUCUCUAUCCAUGGACACCUGUGCAUCUGCUUGGCCCCUUAGUCCACUGAAAGCAGCUGCUCAGGGUGACUAUUGCAAACUUCCUAAAGCAAAAUAUUGGACAGUCUGUGCCAGAGAUCCUUGAGAUGAGAGUGCAGCGCUGGAAAUGGUUACAUCCCGACACGUGGGACAGAAGCAAGGUCAAAUUGUGUAUUCCACGGACCAGCAAAUACCAGCCAGUUUAGUGAGCAGAGCGGCGGACACCCCUGCUGAAAUCCGGAGGAAAACACACAGAGGAUGCAGAGGGGGAUCACAAAGCCGAGGAAAGAGGACCAGGUUGAGACAACAGAGACUUUUGGAGAAGAGGAGUUCGGUGGGUAAUACCGUUCCGGCUGACCGGAAGUGCACUGAGAGCAGUAAGCGUAAAGGAGUUGGGUGCUUACUGAUCUGGUUAACAACAGAUGGUGCAAUCCGGGUCAUAUUACGAUCGAGAAACGUGUUUGUAGACCGGAUAUUGAACUGUUUACUGUUGGACUUCGGCCAUAUUCCACCGAGAUACAACACUGGGUGGCACGGGAGGUCGUUCCUGCCUGUGGCCAUCGAACUUGCAGCUCCUCCCGUGGAGGGCCAAACACCCUGAGCCAAUAGACUGGUCCUGGACUUAUUUUCCAUCUGGCAUAGUUUGCAUUUUGUUGUUUGAUUGUUGGGGGUUUUUGUAUUGCUAUAUUUACACUCUAUUCUUGGUUGGUGCGGCUGUAAUGAAACCAAAUUUCCCUCGGG